UACAGAGGUCCCAAGCGUUGUUCGGAUUCACUGGGCGUAAAGGGUGCGUAGGUGGCUUGGUAAGUUUGAUGUGAAAUCUCCGGGCUUAACCCGGAAAUGGCAUUGAAUACUAUUGAGCUGGAGGUUUGGAGGGGGGACUGGAAUUCUCGGUGUAGCAGUGAAAUGCGUAGAUAUCUGGAGGAACACCGGUGGCGAAGGCGGCAUCCUGGACCGGCAUUGACGCUGAGGCGCGAAAGCCAGGGGAGCAAACGGG
RNAcentral lists this ribosomal RNA (253 nucleotides) under uncultured bacterium. RNAcentral describes it as "partial 16S ribosomal RNA". It matches the Rfam family "Bacterial small subunit ribosomal RNA", at positions 524 to 776 of the family's 1533-position model. The record is from RNAcentral.